CUUUUGUGGGGUGCUCGAGUGGCGAACGGGUGAGUAACACGUGAGUAACCUGCCCUUGACUUUGGGAUAACUUCAGGAAACUGGGGCUAAUACCGGAUAGGAGCUCCUGCUGUAUGGUGGGGGUUGGAAAGUUUCGGCGGUUGGGGAUGGACUCGCGGCUUAUCAGCUUGUUGGUGGGGUAGUGGCUUACCAAGGCUUUGACGGGUAGCCGGCCUGAGAGGGUGACCGGCCACAUUGGGACUGAGAUACGGCCCAG
This 256-nucleotide ribosomal RNA is filed under the name uncultured Actinomycetales bacterium. RNAcentral describes it as "partial 16S ribosomal RNA". It matches the Rfam family "Bacterial small subunit ribosomal RNA", at positions 77 to 334 of the family's 1533-position model. The record is from RNAcentral. Lineage: Bacteria; Bacillati; Actinomycetota; Actinomycetes; Actinomycetales.